CGCACAUUGCGCCCUUUGGUAUUCCUUAGGGCAUGCCUGUUCGAGCGUCAUCAAAACCCUCAAGCACUGCUUGGUGUUGGGCGUCUGUCCGGCCUGGAAGUGGUGCGGACUCGCCUAGAACGAAUUGGCGGCCUCCCUGUCCGGCUAUCGAGCGCAGCACACACGCGACUCUCAGCCCGGCGGGUAGGCGACCAGGAAGCGAACAAAUCACAGUUUUGACCUCGGAUCAGGUAGGGAUACCCGCUGAACUUAA
This 253-nucleotide unclassified non-coding RNA is filed under the name fungal sp. RNAcentral's name for it is "partial contains 5.8S ribosomal RNA, internal transcribed spacer 2, and large subunit ribosomal RNA". The record is from RNAcentral. Lineage: Eukaryota; Fungi.